CGGCUACUCUGAGAGUUGUUGGAGAGCAAACUUAGACGAUUCUCCAUAACUAUUCGCAAGCAGCUGAGUAGGAAUCUAUUAUUUGAUUCAAGUCUCAACAUACUUCUUUUUUGGUAGGCCUCUUUGAUCGAUGACCAUUUUUGUAACAUUUGUUGAGUCUAUGUAAAUUGCAGCUAUUUUGGAGUCUAGAAAGUCUAUUUAGUUUUUUUUGGGAAGUGUAUUAUGCAAUUUGAUUAUGUUAUCUGAAUUAUGACUGGAUUGAAAGCUGAA
Cicer arietinum (chickpea) is the source of this 270-nucleotide non-coding RNA. NCBI's taxonomy places the organism in Eukaryota, Viridiplantae, Streptophyta, Magnoliopsida, Fabales, Fabaceae. The record is from RefSeq and is a predicted model, not a curated record.